Molecule: ribosomal RNA, 253 nt
Filed under: uncultured bacterium
Lineage: Bacteria
Description: partial 16S ribosomal RNA
Rfam family: Bacterial small subunit ribosomal RNA
Source: RNAcentral
AACGUAGGUGGCGAGCGUUAUCCGGAUUUACUGGGCGUAAAGCGUGUGCAGGCGGGCUGUCAAGUGGUGUAUGAAAUCGCUCGGCUUAACCGGGCGCGGUUAUGCCAGACUGACAGUCUAGAGUGCGGGAGAGGGGCGUGGAAUUCCGGGUGUAGUGGUGAAAUGCGUAGAGAUCCGGAGGAACCCCAGAGGCGAAGGCGGCGCCCUGGCCCGACACUGACGCUCAGACACGACAGCAUGGGGAGCGAACGGG